GUCACUCGGUGUUCUCACCGAAAGCACGUAAUCGCCGGUGUAACUCAUGUUGGCUGGGGGGCCUCCCGGCGCGCGGAGAGGCUGGGGUGCGCCCCC
This is an unclassified non-coding RNA of Carlito syrichta (Philippine tarsier), 96 nucleotides long. The record is from Ensembl. NCBI's taxonomy places the organism in Eukaryota, Metazoa, Chordata, Mammalia, Primates, Tarsiidae.